GAUGAACGCUGGCGGCGUGCCUAAUACAUGCAAGUCGAGCGAACAGAUAAGGAGCUUGCUCCUUUGACGUUAGCGGCGGACGGGUGAGUAACACGUGGGUAACCUACCUAUAAGACUGGGAUAACUUCGGGAAACCGGAGCUAAUACCGGAUAACAUUUGGAACCGCAUGGUUCUAAAGUGAAAGAUGGUUUUGCUAUCACUAAUAGAUGGACUCGCGCCGUAUUAGCUAGUUGGUAAGGUAACGGCUUACCAAGGCGACGAUACGUAGCCGACCUGAGAGGGUGAUCGGCCACACUGGAACUGAGACACGGUCCAGACUCCUACGGGAGGCAGCAGUAGGGAAUCUUCAGCAAUGGGCGAAAGCCUGACGGAGCAACGCCGCGUGAGUGAUGAAGGGUUUCGGCUCGUAAAACUCUGUUAUUAGGGAAGAACAGAUGUGUAAGUAACUGUGCACGUCUUGACGGUACCUAAUCAGAAAGCAACGGCUAACUACGUG
RNAcentral lists this ribosomal RNA (497 nucleotides) under uncultured bacterium. RNAcentral's name for it is "partial 16S ribosomal RNA". It matches the Rfam family "Bacterial small subunit ribosomal RNA", at positions 28 to 507 of the family's 1533-position model. The record is from RNAcentral.